GGGCAGUGAAGCUUCUGGCUCCCGCGCCGCCGCCAUGAUCAUCCCCGUGCGCUGCUUCACGUGCGGCAAGAUCGUCGGCAACAAGUGGGAGGCCUACCUGGGGCUGCUGCAGGCCGAGUACACCGAAGGUCACUACCUUACUUGUCCGAGUCUACUCUAGACGAGUCCGACCUUCGGUCCUUGUGUGGACAGCCCCGUCCUUAGCAAAGUUUGAAUCUCUGGGACCCGGAGUGUGCCAGCCAGGGACGCCCUGGAUGCGCUGGGCCUGAAGCGCUACUGCUGCCGCCGCAUGCUGCUCGCCCACGUGGACCUGAUCGAGAAGCUGCUCAACUACGCGCCCCUGGAGAAGUGACCCCGAAAUGCCACAGGCGGUGUCUCACCCAUGGCUUGUUCCCCUGGGGGGUGGGGCGCUGAAAGCCAUGCCUGCCCACGGCUCUGUUGGCAUGGGUCUUCCUCUCUGGAAAUAACUGUCCAGUAAAUGUUGCUGAGGACUGCCAGGA
This is a long non-coding RNA of Dama dama (fallow deer), 500 nucleotides long. RefSeq lists it as uncharacterized. The transcript has 3 exons. The record is from RefSeq and is a predicted model, not a curated record. Lineage: Eukaryota; Metazoa; Chordata; Mammalia; Artiodactyla; Cervidae.